This 362-nucleotide ribosomal RNA is filed under the name uncultured bacterium. RNAcentral describes it as "partial 16S ribosomal RNA". It matches the Rfam family "Bacterial small subunit ribosomal RNA", at positions 338 to 697 of the family's 1533-position model. The record is from RNAcentral.
CCUACGGGCGGCAGCAGUGAGGAAUAUUGGUCAAUGGCCGGAAGGCUGAACCAGCCAUGCCGCGUGAAGGUCAGUGCCCUAUGGGCGUUAAACUUCUUUUGUGCGGGAGCAAUAAUGGUCACGUGUGGACCGACGAGAGUACCGUACGAAUAAGCAUCGGCUAACUCCGUGUCAGCAGCCGCGGUAAUACGGGGGGUGCAAGCGUUAUCCGGAUUUAUUGGGUUUAAAGGUUGCGUAGGCUGGGAGGUAAGGCAGCGUGGGAAUGCCCCGGCUCAACGGGGUGAAGUGCCAUUGAUACUGGCUUGCUGGAAUGCGGAUGCGGUGGGAGGAAUGUGUGGUGUAGCGGUGAAAUGCAUAGAUAU